RNAcentral lists this ribosomal RNA (1011 nucleotides) under uncultured Alphaproteobacteria bacterium. Its description in RNAcentral is "bacterial SSU rRNA". It matches the Rfam family "Bacterial small subunit ribosomal RNA", at positions 347 to 1398 of the family's 1533-position model. Lineage: Bacteria; Pseudomonadati; Pseudomonadota; Alphaproteobacteria. The record is from RNAcentral.
GGCAGCAGUGGGGAAUAUUGCACAAUGGGCGCAAGCCUGAUGCAGCCAUGCCGCGUGAAUGAUGAAGGCCUUAGGGUUGUAAAAUUCUUUCGCCAGGGAUGAUAAUGACAGUACCUGGUAAAGAAGCCCCGGCUAACUUCGUGCCAGCAGCCGCGGUAAUACGAAGGGGGCUAGCGUUGUUCGGAAUUACUGGGCGUAAAGCGCACGUAGGCGGACUUUUAAGUCAGAUGUGAAAUCCCGAGGCUCAACCUCGGAACUGCAUUUGAAACUGGGAGUCUAGAGAUCAGGAGAGGUUAGCGGAAUACCGAGUGUAGAGGUGAAAUUCGUAGAUAUUCGGUGGAACACCAGUGGCGAAGGCGGCUAACUGGACUGAUACUGACGCUGAGGUGCGAAAGUGUGGGGAGCAAACAGGAUUAGAUACCCUGGUAGUCCACACCGUAAACGAUGAGUGCUAGUUGUCUGCAGGCAUGCCUGUAGGUGACGCAGCUAACGCAUUAAGCACUCCGCCUGGGGAGUACGGCCGCAAGGUUAAAACUCAAAGAAAUUGACGGGGGCCCGCACAAGCGGUGGAGCAUGUGGUUUAAUUCGAAGCAACGCGCAGAACCUUACCUACGCUUGACAUGCCCGGACGAUUUCCAGAGAUGGAUCUCUCCCUUCGGGGCCGGUGCACAGGUGCUGCAUGGCUGUCGUCAGCUCGUGUCGUGAGAUGUUGGGUUAAGUCCCGCAACGAGCGCAACCCUCAUCCUUAGUUGCCAUCACGUUUGGGUGGGCACUCUAGGGAAACUGCCGGUGCUAAGCCGGAGGAAGGCGGGGAUGACGUCAAGUCCUCAUGGCCCUUACGCGUAGGGCUACACACGUGCUACAAUGGCAGUGACAAUGGGAUAAUCCCCAAAAGCUGUCUCAGUUCGGAUUGUCGGCUGCAACUCGCCGGCAUGAAGUUGGAAUCGCUAGUAAUCGUGGAUCAGCAUGCCACGGUGAAUACGUUCCCGGGCCUUGCACACACCGCCCGUC